GGAGUGCGGCAGCUACCAUGCAGUCGAGCGGUAACAGAUCCAGCUUGCUGGAUGCUGACGAGCGGCGGACGGGUGAGUAAUGCAUAGGAAUCUGCCCGGUAGUGGGGGAUAACCUGGGGAAACCCAGGCUAAUACCGCAUACGUCCUACGGGAGAAAGGGGGCUUCGGCUCCCGCUAUCGGAUGAGCCUAUGUCGGAUUAGCUAGUUGGUGAGGUAACGGCUCACCAAGGCCACGAUCCGUAGCUGGUCUGAGAGGAUGAUCAGCCACAUCGGGACUGAGACACGGCCCGAACUCCUACGGGAGGCAGCAGUGGGGAAUAUUGGACAAUGGGGGGAACCCUGAUCCAGCCAUGCCGCGUGUGUGAAGAAGGCCCUCGGGUUGUAAAGCACUUUCAGCGAGGAAGAACGCCUAGCGGUUAAUACCCGCUAGGAAAGACAUCACUCGCAGAAGAAGCACCGGCUAACUCCGUGCCAGCAGCCGCGGUAAUACGGAGGGUGCAAGCGUUAAUCGGAAUUACUGGGCGUAAAGCGCGCGUAGGUGGCUUGAUAAGCCGGUUGUGAAAGCCCCGGGCUCAACCUGGGAACGGCAUCCGGAACUGUCAAGCUAGAGUGCAGGAGAGGAAGGUAGAAUUCCCGGUGUAGCGGUGAAAUGCGUAGAGAUCGGGAGGAAUACCAGUGGCGAAGGCGGCCUUCUGGACUGACACUGACACUGAGGUGCGAAAGCGUGGGUAGCAAACAGGAUUAGAUACCCUGGUAGUCCACGCCGUAAACGAUGUCGACCAGCCGUUGGGUGCCUAGCGCACUUUGUGGCGAAGUUAACGCGAUAAGUCGACCGCCUGGGGAGUACGGCCGCAAGGUUAAAACUCAAAUGAAUUGACGGGGGCCCGCACAAGCGGUGGAGCAUGUGGUUUAAUUCGAUGCAACGCGAAGAACCUUACCUACUCUUGACAUCCUGCGAAUUCGGUAGAGAUACCUUAGUGCCUUCGGGAACGCAGAGACAGGUGCUGCAUGGCUGUCGUCAGCUCGUGUUGUGAAAUGUUGGGUUAAGUCCCGUAACGAGCGCACCCUUGUCCUUAUUUGCCAGCGCGUAUGGCGGGAACUCUAAGGAGACUGC
This 1114-nucleotide ribosomal RNA is filed under the name Halomonas sp. RNAcentral describes it as "bacterial SSU rRNA". It matches the Rfam family "Bacterial small subunit ribosomal RNA", at positions 38 to 1152 of the family's 1533-position model. Lineage: Bacteria; Pseudomonadati; Pseudomonadota; Gammaproteobacteria; Oceanospirillales; Halomonadaceae. The record is from RNAcentral.